UCGUAACAAGGUUUCCGUAGGUGAACCUGCGGAAGGAUCAUUACCGAGUGAGGGCCCUCUGGGUCCAACCUCCCACCCGUGUUUAUCGUACCUUGUUGCUUCGGCGGGCCCGCCGCAAGGCCGCCGGGGGGCAUCUGCCCUCUGGCCCGCGCCCGCCGAAGACACCAUUGAACGCUGUCUGAAGAUUGCAGUCUGAGCAAUUAGUUAAAUAACUUAAAACUUUCAACAACGGAUCUCUUGGUUCCGGCAUCGAUGAAGAACGCAGCGAAAUGCGAUACGUAAUGUGAAUUGCAGAAUUCAGUGAAUCAUCGAGUCUUUGAACGCACAUUGCGCCCCCUGGUAUUCCGGGGGGCAUGCCUGUCCGAGCGUCAUUGCUGCCCUCAAGCACGGCUUGUGUGUUGGGCUCCGUCCUCCUCCCGGGGGACGGGCCCGAAAGGCAGCGGCGGCACCGCGUCCGGUCCUCGAGCGUAUGGGGCUUCGUCACCCGCUCUGUAGGCCCGGCCGGCGCUUGCCGACACAUCAAUCUUUUUUCCAGGUUGACCUCGGAUCAGGUAGGGAUACCCGCUGAACUUAAGCAUAUCA
Molecule: unclassified non-coding RNA, 582 nt
Filed under: Penicillium citreonigrum
Lineage: Eukaryota; Fungi; Ascomycota; Eurotiomycetes; Eurotiales; Aspergillaceae
Description: sequence contains 18S rRNA gene, ITS1, 5.8S rRNA gene, ITS2, 28S rRNA gene
Rfam family: 5.8S ribosomal RNA (bases 218-371)
Source: RNAcentral